CUGGGGGAACUUACUGCUGCAUUCUCUUCUGCCUUUGCCUCUUUUCCCUUUACGUUCUUAGCAGCCUAGGUAGGGAGAUUCCCUCCUCCUCAGAGAGUCCUCAGGGUGGCAGUGUGUUGACCUGGAAGUGAGCUGGUAGAAAAAGGAGCACCCUGGAGCAUCCAGAUGGCACAUGGCCCACCCCUGGAACAGAGGCAGGCUGCGGGCACCACGGAGCAGCUUCCAGCUGUGCCCGGCUGCCACUUCCCAGGGACUCAACGCAGCUUCCAAGUUGCCCGCAAGAGCAGAACAUUCUGCAGUUGUCCGUCCUCAAAGCCACAGAUCCUCGAGGCAACAUCAGCCGAGUUUAUAAGGGAAGAUAAGUGCUGAAAGAUCGCAUUUCAAUAUCUCGUAGCUAUUGGUCUUAAAAGCAUUCAUGAAAGGACAGAUCCUGGAGGUCAGCUCCCUCACUGCUAAUUCGUUCACCAAAGAUGACUUUCCAAGUCUGUUCAGCCAGUAAAAAAAAGAUCAAAACCAUUUCAACACCA
Long non-coding RNA from Heteronotia binoei (common prickly gecko), 527 nucleotides. RefSeq lists it as uncharacterized. NCBI's taxonomy places the organism in Eukaryota, Metazoa, Chordata, Lepidosauria, Squamata, Gekkonidae. The record is from RefSeq and is a predicted model, not a curated record. The transcript is spliced from 3 exons.